UAGAGUUUGAUCAUGGCUCAGAUUGAACGCUGGCGGCAGGCCUAACACAUGCAAGUCGAGCGGUAGAGAGAAGCUUGCUUCUCUUGAGAGCGGCGGACGGGUGAGUAAAGCCUAGGAAUCUGCCUGGUAGUGGGGGAUAACGUUCGGAAACGGACGCUAAUACCGCAUACGUCCUACGGGAGAAAGCAGGGGACCUUCGGGCCUUGCGCUAUCAGAUGAGCCUAGGUCGGAUUAGCUAGUUGGUGAGGUAAUGGCUCACCAAGGCGACGAUCCGUAACUGGUCUGAGAGGAUGAUCAGUCACACUGGAACUGAGACACGGUCCAGACUCCUACGGGAGGCAGCAGUGGGGAAUAUUGGACAAUGGGCGAAAGCCUGAUCCAGCCAUGCCGCGUGUGUGAAGAAGGUCUUCGGAUUGUAAAGCACUUUAAGUUGGGAGGAAGGGCAGUUACUUAAUACGUGAUUGUUUGACGUACCGACAG
RNAcentral lists this ribosomal RNA (480 nucleotides) under Pseudomonas sp. 01WB02.2-10. RNAcentral describes it as "bacterial SSU rRNA". It matches the Rfam family "Bacterial small subunit ribosomal RNA", at positions 1 to 484 of the family's 1533-position model. The record is from RNAcentral. Lineage: Bacteria; Pseudomonadati; Pseudomonadota; Gammaproteobacteria; Pseudomonadales; Pseudomonadaceae.